AUGUGGAGCCGUAGCGAAAGCGAGUCUGAAUAGGGCGUUUAGUAUUUGGUCGUAGACCCGAAACCAGGUGAUCUACCCUUGGUCAGGUUGAAGUUCAGGUAACACUGAAUGGAGGACCGAACCGACUUACGUUGAAAAGUGAGCGGAUGAACUGAGGGUAGCGGAGAAAUUCCAAUCGAACCUGGAGAUAGCUGGUUCUCUCCGAAAUAGCUUUAGGGCUAGCCUCAAGUGAUGAUUAUUGGAGGUAGAGCACUGUUUGGACGAGGGGCCCCUCUCGGGUUACCGAAUUCAGACAAACUCCGAAUGCCAAUUAAUUUAACUUGGGAGUCAGAACAUGGGUGAUAAGGUCCGUGUUCGAAAGGGAAACAGCCCAGACCACCAGCUAAGGUCCCAAAAUAUAUGUUAAGUGGAAAAGGAUGUGGCGUUGCCCAGACAACUAGGAUGUUGGCUUAGAAGCAGCCAUCAUUUAAAGAGUGCGUAAUAGCUCACUAGUCGAGUGACACUGCGCCGAAAAUGUACCGGGGCUAAACAUAUUACCGAAGCUGUGGAUUGUCCUUUGGACAAUGGUAGGAGAGCGUUCUAAGGGCGUUGAAGCAUGAUCGUAAGGACAUGUGGAGCGCUUAGAAGUGAGAAUGCCGGUGUGAGUAGCGAAAGACGGGUGAGAAUCCCGUCCACCGAUUGACUAAGGUUUCCAGAGGAAGGCUCGUCCGCUCUGGGUUAGUCGGGUCCUAAGCUGAGGCCGACAGGCGUAGGCGAUGGAUAACAGGUUGAUAUUCCUGUACCACCUAUAAUCGUUUUAAUCGAUGGGGGGACGCAGUAGGAUAGGCGAAGCGUGCGAUUGGAUUGCACGUCUAAGCAGUAAGGCUGAGUAUUAGGCAAAUCCGGUACUCGUUAAGGCUGAGC
RNAcentral lists this ribosomal RNA (903 nucleotides) under Staphylococcus aureus. RNAcentral describes it as "partial 23S ribosomal RNA". It matches the Rfam family "Bacterial large subunit ribosomal RNA", at positions 658 to 1561 of the family's 2925-position model. The record is from RNAcentral. Lineage: Bacteria; Bacillati; Bacillota; Bacilli; Caryophanales; Staphylococcaceae.